UACGUAGGGUGCAAGCGUUAAUCGGAAUUACUGGGCGUAAAGCGUGCGCAGGCGGUUAUAUAAGACAGAUGUGAAAUCCCCGGGCCCAACCUGGGAACUGCAUUUGUGACUGCAAGGCUAGAGUACGGCAGAGGGGGAUGGAAUUCCGCGUGUAGCAGUGAAAUGCGUAGAUAUGCGGAGGAACACCAAUGGCGAAGGCAAUCCCCUGGGCCUGUACUGACGCUCAUGCACGAAAGCGUGGGGAGCAAACAGG
This 253-nucleotide ribosomal RNA is filed under the name uncultured bacterium. Its description in RNAcentral is "partial 16S ribosomal RNA". It matches the Rfam family "Bacterial small subunit ribosomal RNA", at positions 524 to 776 of the family's 1533-position model. The record is from RNAcentral.